AUUUUUGUAGAAUAAAUAAUAGAUGGACGAAACGUUUAACAGAGUGGGUACCGAGAGACAGGAAAAGGAAAAGAGGAAGACCAAAUAAAAGAUGGAGAGAUAUAUUUAAUGAGAGAUGUGGAACC
Molecule: long non-coding RNA, 125 nt
Organism: Aricia agestis (brown argus)
Lineage: Eukaryota; Metazoa; Arthropoda; Insecta; Lepidoptera; Lycaenidae
Exons: 3
Source: RefSeq, a predicted model, not a curated record